Long non-coding RNA from Saccostrea cuccullata (small rock oyster), 640 nucleotides. RefSeq lists it as uncharacterized. Lineage: Eukaryota; Metazoa; Mollusca; Bivalvia; Ostreida; Ostreidae. The transcript has 3 exons. The record is from RefSeq and is a predicted model, not a curated record.
GAAGCAUGACAGGAAAUAAAACGUUUAAUAUUUUUUUUCUUCGAACAUUAGCAAAGAACAUCAUAUCAUACACUAAGCAGUGAAUGACAGUGAAUGACUAACAGAUUAUAAAGUUUCACUAAAGAAAACCAGGAAUGUUCUCGAGGUUUUACGGUCCCAUCAAAUCAAAGUGUCUUUAAGGAUGCCCUUCCUGAUUGUUCUUAGAUCUACCGAAAGCAAGAAAUGGUAUCCAGAAAAUCAGCCGUAUGAUUUUACGGUUAAACUUCCAAGAAAAUUCCAUGUAAUGUCUUCUUGCACAUUGGAGCUGACUGCAAUUUAUGCAAAGCGUACAUAAAUGUGCCGUGUGUCGAUAAAGAAAUCUACAUUUAUUGCGAUGCUUGUGAAAUGUCCAGAGUAGGAGAUGAGGAAAAACCACUGCUUCGUAACAUGGUCUUAAACGUGGAUAGAAUGGAUUAUAGCGAAAUAUUUCAAAACCCAUACAAAGUAGCAGUUAUUGACAGAACUAUAGACCAUCUCCACAUCGAGAUAAAAACCAAGAGCAAUAUGCAUGCAACCUUUCUCCGCGACGACCUGACGGUAACCCUUAUGCUCCGAGGCCCAUUUAGUUAUUCACUAGUUCAGAACGAUUCUUUGUAAUUUU